UCCCAGGUGACUCAGUGGUAAAGGAUCUGCCUGCCAAGCAGGAGAUGCGGGUUCAAUCCCUGGGUUGAGAA
RNAcentral lists this transfer RNA (71 nucleotides) under Ovis aries (sheep). It matches the Rfam family "tRNA". From Rfam's summary of the family: Transfer RNA (tRNA) molecules are approximately 80 nucleotides in length. Their secondary structure includes four short double-helical elements and three loops (D, anti-codon, and T loops). Lineage: Eukaryota; Metazoa; Chordata; Mammalia; Artiodactyla; Bovidae. The record is from Rfam by way of RNAcentral.